This 230-nucleotide ribosomal RNA is filed under the name uncultured bacterium. RNAcentral describes it as "partial 16S ribosomal RNA". It matches the Rfam family "Bacterial small subunit ribosomal RNA", at positions 100 to 334 of the family's 1533-position model. The record is from RNAcentral.
GGACGGGUGGGGAGUGUCUGGGAACUGCUGAGUGAGGGGGAGUAACUACUGGAAACGGUAGCUAAUACCGCAUAACGUCGCAAGACCAAAGAGGGGGACCUUCGGGCCUCUUGCCAUCGGAUGUGCCCAGAUGGGAUUAGCUAGUAGGUGGGGUAACGGCUCACCUAGGCGACGAUCCCUAGCUGGUCUGAGAGGAUGACCAGCCACACUGGAACUGAGACACGGUCCAG